RNAcentral lists this long non-coding RNA (818 nucleotides) under Ovis aries (sheep). Its description in RNAcentral is "lncRNA (ENSOARG00000025619.1)". Lineage: Eukaryota; Metazoa; Chordata; Mammalia; Artiodactyla; Bovidae. The record is from RNAcentral.
UAAACUUCUGUGGCAGAAUAAUAGUGUUAAGCAUUUACCAGUAGGUUUUUCCUUGGUAUUUCCUUUCUUUCACCAGUGGAGGAAAAUUCAUAUGGCUCUUUAAAACUACUUCUGUUAGGGUCUUGGGGUUCUUCAGACACAUUAUAGGAAGAAAGCUAAGUAAAGGGCUUGAUGCUUUUUAACUAAAUGAAGUCAAGGCCCUCGUAUAAGAAUAAAGCAACAGAAUGAAGUUAGAGUGGCUGCAGAGCUGAUGUGUACAUUGUAACUUCAGGGUCAAACAGACAUGGUGGUGUUCUGCCACUGGCAGCCAACAUUAGUUCAGGUCAGGAUGACUCACUGAGAGGAAGAAGUGAGAGGAGAAACAACGCCAGUCACUAUUUCAAGCCGGCUGAGCUCAACUUGGCACCUCCAGGGCCUGAACUCACCCUGCCAUUCCUCAGCAGAGGGACAACGUCCAGGUAUGACAUGGAUGUAACACGGGCUAUGAGAUUCCAUCCAACACUAGGGUUUGCUGCCAACAGAAGGCUAGGGAGGCACUGAAUUCCGAGAUAUGCCCUAAAGAUGAGGGAGGAAUAGAACAAACACCCUUAAUCUCAGUCACAGAUUCAGAAAUCAAAGCAGAAAGCUGGGGGGUGAUGGGGGGAGAUUAAUCCAGAUCUCAUUCCCUCUCAAUGUAAAAGAAUUUUAAAAGAGUUUUCUAAGAGCAGAAACUGCCACCAAGGGUGUAGGAGUCAGGCUAGCUAUGGUCUGUGACUGGUCUGACAAAGGCUAACUCUUACCCAGAUGUCCAAUAAAAACACUUAGCAAGUAUCAUUUCC